This 627-nucleotide ribosomal RNA is filed under the name uncultured bacterium. Its description in RNAcentral is "partial 16S ribosomal RNA". The record is from RNAcentral.
ACGGCUACCUUGUUACGACUUAGCCCCAGUCAUCGGUUUUGCCCUAGGGCGCUGCUCGCGCUCACGCACUUCAGGCACUCCCGACUCCCAUGGCUUGACGGGCGGUGUGUACAAGGCCCGGGAACGUAUUCACCGCGCCGUGGCUGAUGCGCGAUUACUAGCGAAUCCAGCUUCAUGGAGUCGGGUUGCAGACUCCAAUCCGAACUGAGACAGGCUUUCGGGUUCCGCUCCCUGUCGCCAGGUGGCUUCCCGCUGUACCUGCCAUUGUAACACGUGUGUCGCCCCGGACGUAAGGGCCGUGCUGAUUUGACGUCAUCCCCGCCUUCCUCGCAGCUUGCGCCGGCAGUCCCGCCAGAGUCCCCAGCUUUGCCUGUUGGCAACUGGCGGUAGGGGUUGCGCUCGUUAUGGCACUUAAGCCGACACCUCACGGCACGAGCUGACGACAACCAUGCAGCACCUCGUCGCAGGUCCGUAGACGGGCAUCCUUUCAGACACCCUUCCUGCAACGUUUGAGCCCGGGUAAGGUUCCUCGCGUAUCAUCGAAUUAAACCACAUGUUCCUCCGCUUGUGCGGGCCCCCGUCAAUUCCUUUGAGUUUCACCGUUGCCGGCGUACUCCCCAGGUGGAG